RNAcentral lists this ribosomal RNA (253 nucleotides) under uncultured bacterium. RNAcentral describes it as "partial 16S ribosomal RNA". It matches the Rfam family "Bacterial small subunit ribosomal RNA", at positions 524 to 776 of the family's 1533-position model. The record is from RNAcentral.
UACGGGGGGGGCAAGCGUUGUUCGGAAUUACUGGGCGUAAAGGGCUUGUAGGUGGCCAACUAAGUCAGACGUGAAAUCCCUCGGCUUAACCGGGGAACUGCGUCUGAUAUUGGAUGGCUGGAGUGUGGGAGAGGGAUGCGGAAUUCCAGGUGUAGCGGUGAAAUGCGUAGAUAUCUGGAGGAACACCGGUGGCGAAGGCGGCAUCCUGGACCAUUACUGACACUGAAAAGCGAAAGCCAGGGGAGCAAACGGG